GGGCAGGCUAUGCCGGGAGGUCAGCCCUCUCCUGUAACUGCAAACGGGCUUUAUGGCGGGGUGAAGCUGGCAAGCGGUUCAGGCUGCAGCCGGAGGUCUUGGCUCGUACGUUGACCUUCUGUCCUUCAGGGUUGUUGCGUUUGAAAACCACGUCAGGCUGGGAACAGAGCAGCGUUAAUCAUUUGCAAUGGCGCUUGAGGGGGUGCGGAAGCGAGGAAAAGCUAAGGUGAACUUUCAGCUAACGUUUGUCCCAAUCGCUGGCGUGCCUGCCU
This 272-nucleotide signal recognition particle RNA is filed under the name Candidatus Woesearchaeota archaeon. RNAcentral describes it as "signal recognition particle sRNA". It matches the Rfam family "Archaeal signal recognition particle RNA". The record is from RNAcentral. Lineage: Archaea; Nanobdellati; Candidatus Woesearchaeota.